Molecule: transfer RNA, 76 nt
Filed under: Clostridium sp.
Lineage: Bacteria; Bacillati; Bacillota; Clostridia; Eubacteriales; Clostridiaceae
Also listed under: 7 other names
Description: tRNA-Thr
Rfam family: tRNA
About the family: Transfer RNA (tRNA) molecules are approximately 80 nucleotides in length. Their secondary structure includes four short double-helical elements and three loops (D, anti-codon, and T loops). Further hydrogen bonds mediate the characteristic L-shaped molecular structure. tRNAs have two regions of fundamental functional importance: the anti-codon, which is responsible for specific mRNA codon recognition, and the 3' end, to which the tRNAs corresponding amino acid is attached (by aminoacyl-tRNA synthetases). tRNAs cope with the degeneracy of the genetic code in two manners: having more than one tRNA (with a specific anti-codon) for a particular amino acid; and 'wobble' base-pairing, i.e. permitting non-standard base-pairing at the 3rd anti-codon position.
Source: RNAcentral
GCUUCUAUAGCUCAGUAGGUAGAGCACUUCCAUGGUAAGGAAGGGGUCGCCAGUUCGAUUCUGGCUGGAAGCUCCA